GUGAGCUACCAGCCAUAAGCUCUGGUCCACACGGCUUUCUUCUUGAACUCGGUGGACGACUUCAGACCCAGGAGAGCAGCUGGAACCAGGAAGGUCCAACUGAUGUUCUUUUAGGUGAUUCCCAUGGAAACCUGACAUGUUCGCAUACACCUCAGAAAGCAUGUAGUUGCGCCCCUGGCUAAAGAGAGAUGCACCCCUCUGGUGAGGUAUGAGGAGAAUAAGUGGUAAACAGUGUAAUGAAUACUGGAGAUUAGUCAUAUGGACUUCAUUUCAACCUUUAAAGAAGGGUCAGCCAGCACGACGAUGGUGGUCGCUCCAUAGCCGAUGUUCCGGAUGUGUCCCAUCAGCUCCAGCAGCCACUCCAUGCGCUUGGAGACGCCUGUAGGGAGAAGCAGUGAUGCUCAAUACGCAGACUUAGACAGCAGAGCCACGGUUACUAGCAGAGCUGCACUCUGACCUGUACUGGUGCCAGCAGUCAGCCGGCACUGGUAAAAGGCCUGCAAGAGGAUCCAGCCCAGUCUGCAGCUUGACCAACCAGAGAGCACGCCAGUGAUGACAUCAUUGAGGCUGAGCAGCGGGAGUCUGCCCUGAGAGGAAAGGAAUAACCAACACUGAGGCUGUGGACGAGUGGUGGGGACAGCCAGGACCCCAGGAAGAGGGACGCACUCUGGGAGGACUGGGC
Molecule: long non-coding RNA, 682 nt
Organism: Poeciliopsis prolifica (blackstripe livebearer)
Lineage: Eukaryota; Metazoa; Chordata; Actinopteri; Cyprinodontiformes; Poeciliidae
Exons: 5
Source: RefSeq, a predicted model, not a curated record